UACAGAGGGUGCGAGCGUUAAUCGGAAUUACUGGGCGUAAAGCGCGCGUAGGCGGCUUUGCAAGUCGGGUGUGAAAUCCCCAGGCUUAACCUGGGAACUGCAUUCGAGACUGCAUUGCUAGAGUAUCGGAGAGGGAAGUGGAAUUUCAGGUGUAGCGGUGAAAUGCGUAGAUAUCUGAAGGAACAUCAGUGGCGAAAGCGACUUCCUGGACGAAUACUGACGCUCAUGUGCGAAAGCGUGGGGAGCAAACAGGAUUAGAAACCCCCGUAGUC
This 272-nucleotide ribosomal RNA is filed under the name uncultured bacterium. RNAcentral's name for it is "partial 16S ribosomal RNA". It matches the Rfam family "Bacterial small subunit ribosomal RNA", at positions 524 to 795 of the family's 1533-position model. The record is from RNAcentral.